This is a non-coding RNA of Spodoptera litura, 229 nucleotides long. NCBI's taxonomy places the organism in Eukaryota, Metazoa, Arthropoda, Insecta, Lepidoptera, Noctuidae. The record is from RefSeq and is a predicted model, not a curated record.
AUCUGCAUUACACUAUUCACCAUGAACGCUAAUAUCCUUAUCUACUUGGUACUCGCUAUUAUUGCGAUGUCCAACGUGAUGUUCGUAGCAGGAGAACCUGGUCCUAACGAGUGUGAUGAUGAGAGGUGCGGAUCAGUGAUCGAUAUGGAAGAACUUCUCGAUGUUUUGUAACCAAUUUUCCAAAAAAUGUAUAACAAUUUUUCCAUUUCUUCUUUUUGAUAAUGAUUAU